Molecule: unclassified non-coding RNA, 76 nt
Filed under: Bradyrhizobium arachidis
Lineage: Bacteria; Pseudomonadati; Pseudomonadota; Alphaproteobacteria; Hyphomicrobiales; Nitrobacteraceae
Source: RNAcentral
AGGAGCCGUAUGCGGUAGCGCCGCACGUACGGAUCUGAGCGGGGGGGCGCUGGGAAACCAGCGUCCCUACCGCGAC